Molecule: long non-coding RNA, 214 nt
Organism: Salvelinus fontinalis (brook trout)
Lineage: Eukaryota; Metazoa; Chordata; Actinopteri; Salmoniformes; Salmonidae
Exons: 2
Source: RefSeq, a predicted model, not a curated record
GCUGGAGAUCAGAAUGCACUGCAGGGGAGGAGGUUACACUUGGAUGAAACCUCUAAUACAACAAAUGGAUCAUUAAGUCUGAGAAAAGACAUCAGUCAGCCAUAGCACUCACCAGGACCAGCACAGGGGAGAAGAACAUCCAGCAGGAGCGGAAAUAGAUGUUGGGAGCCUUUCCCAACAUCCUCUUGAUCACGAUGGUCAUCCGCCCCAGUCC